This 455-nucleotide ribosomal RNA is filed under the name uncultured bacterium. RNAcentral describes it as "bacterial SSU rRNA". It matches the Rfam family "Bacterial small subunit ribosomal RNA", at positions 340 to 786 of the family's 1533-position model. The record is from RNAcentral.
UACGGAAGGCAGCAGUGGGGAAUAUUGCACAAUGGGCGCAAGCCUGAUGCAGCCAUGCCGCGUGUAUGAAGAAGGCCUUCGGGUUGUAAAGUACUUUUAGUCGUGAGGAAGGUGUUAAGGUUAAUAACCUUAGCAAUUGACGUUAGCGACAGAAGAAGCACCGGCUAACUCCGUGCCAGCAGCCGCGGUAAUACGGAGGGUGCGAGCGUUAAUCGGAAUUACUGGGCGUAAAGGGCACGCAGGCGGUUAAUUAAGUUGGAUGUGAAAUCCCCGGGCUUAACCUGGGAAUGGCAUUCAAGACUGGUUAGCUAGAGUCUUGUAGAGGGGGUAGAAUUCCAUGUGUAGCGGUGAAAUGCGUAGAGAUGUGGAGGAAUACCGGUGGCGAAGGCGGCCCCUGGGACAAAGGACUGACGCUCAUGUGCGAAAGCGUGGGGAGCAAACAGGGAUUAGAUACC